CCUACGGGUGGCAGCAGUGGGGAAUAUUGCACAAUGGGCGCAAGCCUGAUGCAGCCAUGCCGCGUGUGUGAAGAAGGCCUUCGGGUUGUAAAGCACUUUCAGCGGGGAGGAAGGCGGUGAGGUUAAUAACCUCAUCGAUUGACGUUACCCGCAGAAGAAGCACCGGCUAACUCCGUGCCAGCAGCCGCGGUAAUACGGAGGGUGCAAGCGUUAAUCGGAAUUACUGGGCGUAGAGCGCACGCAGGCGGUCUGUCAAGUCGGAUGUGAAAUCCCCGGGCUCAACCUGGGAACUGCAUUCGAAACUGGCAGGCUAGAGUCUUGUAGAGGGGGGUAGAAUUCCAGGUGUAGCGGUGAAAUGCGUAGAGAUCUGGAGGAAUACCGGUGGCGAAGGCGGCCCCCUGGACAAAGACUGACGCUCAGGUGCGAAAGCGUGGGGAGCAAACAGGAUUAGAUACCCUAGUAGUC
This 465-nucleotide ribosomal RNA is filed under the name uncultured Klebsiella sp. Its description in RNAcentral is "bacterial SSU rRNA". It matches the Rfam family "Bacterial small subunit ribosomal RNA", at positions 338 to 795 of the family's 1533-position model. The record is from RNAcentral. Lineage: Bacteria; Pseudomonadati; Pseudomonadota; Gammaproteobacteria; Enterobacterales; Enterobacteriaceae.